CUUGGUCAUUUAGAGGAAGUAAAAGUCGUAACAAGGUUUCCGUAGGUGAACCUGCGGAAGGAUCAUUAACGAUUGCGAAUGCUCACCUUCAGUGCUGGCUCCUCCGAGUACGUGCACGUUGGUGGCUUUCAUCCAAUACCACACCCUUGUGCACCUUUGGCCUCUCCCUGGCUUCGGCUGGUAGAGGAUUUUUUUUACACACACUCGAAUGUAAUGAAAACUAUUGUUGUGCGCAUGCACUAAUGUACAACUUUCAACAACGGAUCUCUUGGCUCUCGCAUCGAUGAAGAACGCAGCGAAAUGCGAUAAGUAAUGUGAAUUGCAGAAUUCAGUGAAUCAUCGAAUCUUUGAACGCACCUUGCACCCUUUGGAAUUCCGAAGGGUAUGCUCGUUUGAGUGUCAUUGUACUCUCACACUCUCCUCCUUUGGAAGGAGAGCGGUGGACUUGGGUGUUGCUGCUUUCCUUGUGGCUCAUCUGAAAUGUGUCAGUGCACCUCUUGGUUGGACAUAGUACGGCGUGAUAAGUGUCUUCGCCGGCACCUCAUAUAUGAGGGUGGCUGAUCAGGGGCUCUGUGCUUUCAAACCGUCUUCGGACACUCUGACAACUUGACCUCAAAUCGAGUAGGACUACCCGCUGAACUUAAGCAUAUCAAUAAGCGGAGGA
This 664-nucleotide ribosomal RNA is filed under the name uncultured Sebacinaceae. RNAcentral describes it as "eukaryotic LSU rRNA". The stretch from base 249 to 402 matches the Rfam family "5.8S ribosomal RNA". Lineage: Eukaryota; Fungi; Basidiomycota; Agaricomycetes; Sebacinales; Sebacinaceae. The record is from RNAcentral.